Molecule: long non-coding RNA, 2561 nt
Filed under: Macaca nemestrina (pig-tailed macaque)
Lineage: Eukaryota; Metazoa; Chordata; Mammalia; Primates; Cercopithecidae
Description: lncRNA (ENSMNEG00000045674.1)
Source: RNAcentral
GUCUGGGUGAUCAGGGACGUAAACCAGCCAUGGCAAGGUGGUGAAGCACCACCAUGGAAGGGCACCAGCCGGGCCCUGGGGUCACAGAAGUGUCCCAGGAAGUGCAGCUGUUAAGCCUGGUGAGAGGAGAGCGAGCCAGGAGGACGGCGAGAGACAGGCAUGACGGGGCGCUGCCAGCAUGCUCCCCAUCCGCCUCCUGCACACGUGUGACCCAUGACUGCCCACUGCCCCUGGAGUCGAGCCCAGGCUCCGCAGGAUGGCAGUGGGUGGGCCUCAUCACCCGGCACACCUGCCUCCCCACUGUCCUCGCCAGCAUCUCCUCCCAGAGCACACCAGACUGCCCCAUGCAUCCAAUCCACAGGCGCACUCAAACGGCCACUAAGCCAGGUUCCGCCUUAGAUCUUCACUGAGAAGAUGCUCACAAGAGGAGCUGAUGCUUCGGUGGGGAGCAAGGUGGAAAAGAAACCCUCAUGGGACUGGAUCGAGGUGAGUGCCUGGAUUCCAGAUGUACAGGUGCAGGGUCUCCAGUCCAGCCUGAGGCCAGAGGUCAGGGCUUGGAAAGUCAGGAGGGGUUUCCUAGAGGAUUUGAUGUCAGGACCAAGGGCAUCAGGAUGGGUAGGAAGUGGUCGCUGAAGAGGAGAAGAAGGCCUGCUUUGGGCCCUGUGCCUUUUCCCAUACUGCUUCAGCCUGGGACACCUGACACCGCCUUGGCCUGGCUGCCCUGCAGAGCGGGCGGGCAAGUCGCUUCUCUGUGGAGUCCUUCCCGGUACCCACUCUGCCCCUCCACGUGCUGAGCUGUGGUGGACACCUCCUCUUCUUGGCUCCAGGGCACUCUCCCAGCCCUUGUGAGUGUCUCAUCCCCGCGUGUUCACUGACCUCCCCCGUUAUGUGUGAGUCUUUCUCUCUUGGCGUCCCCUGAAGCCUCACACACAUGAGCACACGCCCGGCACUCAGCAGCACCAUGGAAUGUGAGUCUGCGUUGAGCCACUAGCUUUAUUCUUACAAGUGCUGUAUUAUUCAGAGCAGAGAGAAGUCGCCCUGGCCACAGGCACUGGUCCCAUCUUCAAGGAGAACUCUGAGAAGCUGAUACGUGUCCCAGGGUGAGCUACCACUGGGGGAAAAGGGAGGAACCUUACCCACUGUCGGGUAAGAACUGCUGGACAGAGCCUGGAGAGGAGAGGAUGCCGCAUGGGGCAUGAGGGGACCUGCUGCUGCCAGAGGCACCAAUACCUGGGCACAUGGAGAGGGGCUGCUGCUCUAGACUCUCACAAACGUAGAGAGAAUAAAGGGGUUAGUGGGGGCAGUUACAUGGAGGCAUCUUUCAGACCUAAGGAAAAGCUUUCUGGGGAUAGCAAUUUUCCCACCUGUGGGCGAUUGCCUUGACCUCCCUACAAUGGUCACAUUCAAGGCCUUGCACACCUGCCACUGCUCAGGAUGUCAUCCCUUGUAGGCCUCUCAUCCUGCAUGGGAAAUUAGGCCAGAUAACCUCUAUGAUGCUGUGCAAAUCUAGGCGUCUACAAGCCUAAACGUUGAUCUCAGCCUGACUCUCACCCUGCCUCGGGCCCUGUGGUAGCACAGCUGUGCUAUCUUCAUGCCCGGGUUGCAUCCCAGGCAGCUACGCACCCUGUGCAUGGCUAUACCACCUCAAAGGAUCCUUCACUUCCUCAGCAGAGCUGGGGUUGGGAGAGCAGCGGCUUUCCUGGGAUGCUCUGCUGCUCCUCAGCAGGGCCAGGCUUUGAAUCCCACCCACACAUCUAUGGUCUGGAAAGACACACCAGAAUUUGUCAAAAGACCGUUUCCCAUAUUCCAGGGAUUAUUUCCCUCCUUCUCCUUCCUUUACCCUUGGAUCCUCUCCAGAAUCAAGUGGAUCUGACUCCCUGCGUCCCCCAGGGAGUCACUAUGAAGUCGGAAUUGGACUCGGACAAAGGACAGCUCUGGACCAAGUCCCCAGUAGCUCUUGUGGACCUUGGAGCAGGGAGAGAGGCCAUGAAUAAACCUGAUCCCCUUACAGUGGAUGCUUGGGGGCUGCCAUAACAAAGGACCACAGACCAGAUGCUUCAAUCACAGAAAGGUCUUGUCCGCAGUCCUGGAGGCUGGAAGUCCAAGGUUGAGGUGCUGGCAGGGUUGGUUCCUUCCAGAGGACUGUGGGGAGGGGCUGUUUCAGGCCUCUCUCCUGGGCCUGUGGACGCUGUCUUCUCCCUGUGUCUUCACACUGUCUUCCCACUGGGCAUGUGUGUCCACGUGUCCCACUCUAACAAGGUUAUAUUGGCUGAAGGCCCACUCUCAUGACCUCGUUUUAGCUUGAUUAUCCCUGUAAAGACUCUAUCUCCAAAUCAGGUCAUGUUCUGAGGUCCUGGUGGGGAGGACUUCAACAUAUGAGGUUUUGGAGGUGGGGGGACACAAUUCAACCAUAAUAGGGUCAUGUGGCUUUUUCUGACUGCCCAUCAUCUGCACCCCAAGAUGUGAGCUUGGGUGAGAAGCUGAGAAGCUCGACACCUCCCAGCUGCUCUGCAAUAAUGAAUGGCGAAGGUUUGUGCAGCACUUUGGCUGCAGACAGACGC